CAGCCGCCGCGGUAAUACGUAGGGUGCAAGCGUUAAUCGGAAUUACUGGGCGUAAAGCGUGCGCAGGCGGUUCGGAAAGAAAGAUGUGAAAUCCCAGAGCUUAACUUUGGAACUGCAUUUUUAACUACCGGGCUAGAGUGUGUCAGAGGGAGGUGGAAUUCCGCGUGUAGCAGUGAAAUGCGUAGAUAUGCGGAGGAACACCGAUGGCGAAGGCAGCCUCCUGGGAUAACACUGACGCUCAUGCACGAAAGCGUGGGGAGCAAACAGGAUUAGAUACCCUGGUAGUCCACGCCCUAAACGAUGUCAACUAGCUGUUGGGGCCUUCGGGCCUUGGUAGCGCAGCUAACGCGUGAAGUUGACCGCCUGGGGAGUACGGCCGCAAGGUUGAAACUUAAAGGAAUUGGCGGG
RNAcentral lists this ribosomal RNA (408 nucleotides) under uncultured microorganism. RNAcentral's name for it is "bacterial SSU rRNA". It matches the Rfam family "Bacterial small subunit ribosomal RNA", at positions 509 to 917 of the family's 1533-position model. The record is from RNAcentral.